Molecule: long non-coding RNA, 373 nt
Organism: Phodopus roborovskii (desert hamster)
Lineage: Eukaryota; Metazoa; Chordata; Mammalia; Rodentia; Cricetidae
Exons: 2
Source: RefSeq, a predicted model, not a curated record
UUCAGGCUUCCGGAAGCAUCUGUCAGCUCAGCUACCUGGGACUCUCUCGUCCUCUCUGCACUCUGGACACUGGCUGCCGCCUCCAUGAAAACUCAUUACUUUCUCCUGAUGAUAUUUUUUCUCUUCUCCCAGAUGGAGCCAGGUGCCGGUAUUCUCACAAGUCUUGGGCGCAGAACCGAUCAAUACCGAUGUCUCCAGCAUGGAGGAUUCUGUCUCCGCUCCAGUUGCCCUUCCCAUACCAGGCUACAGGGAACCUGUAAACCAGAUAAGCCCAACUGCUGCAGGAGCUGACAAUGAUUUGAAGAAUGAACAUAAAAGACAAGCGAGGGAUAUGCAGUCAGUGUUUUAAUAAAGGAAAUAUUUUCAAAGCCUA